UACUGGUCCUUUACUUGUAAUGCUUCCCACCGUCACCGUAUAAUAAAUAAAAACACUUAACUACAAAAAAUAAAAUAAUAUAAAUAAAUAAUUAUACAUAGAUUAUAUAAAGUAUGUAAACAUAAAAUGCCGAAUUAAAUUUUUAAAAUAUAGGCGUUCUUCGAAUAUCCAAUAAUUCGAAAUUAAAUCCGUGACGUAACUGACACGUUUCGCUCAUUCGCCGGCUAUUUUAAGAGCGACCAAUUAGAAGCUUUGGUUUAAAAUUUUAAACGAAACGUCUUGAUUGGUUUUUUGUUAUUAUUGACGCCAUUCCAGUUUCAGAAAGAAUCUUUGAACUAGAAAAUAGAAGCAAUCUGGAAAACUAAAAAUAAAUUGAAAUGCUCGUAAAAUGUGAAUUCGUGUCGCUCGACGCGUGCACCUUACGUAAAUUUAAAUUAAAUGGAAAGUUUGUGUAUUAGGGACAUCGACAGCAACACCCGCAGACUAUAAAAAAGGGCAUCAUAUAAUAUCCAAGAAGCUUCACACUGUGAUUUAAAGUCGAAUCAGCAAUCCCACAAAGUGGCACUGGUUGCAAUCAAGACUAAGAAACAAGGAAUGAUUUUUAGCCUUCUUUUCAAGGCCAAUUUUUGGUCAACAUACGAUGAAGUUACAUGAGACAAUGGAUAAAUAUCUUUCAUUAGCUUUUAGAGC
This 690-nucleotide long non-coding RNA is filed under the name Centruroides sculpturatus (bark scorpion). RNAcentral describes it as "uncharacterized LOC111613126, transcript variant X2". The record is from RNAcentral. Lineage: Eukaryota; Metazoa; Arthropoda; Arachnida; Scorpiones; Buthidae.